AUUCCUGAGGACAAUCAAAGAAACGAAUGAAAGCAUCUGUUCUUAUCAGUUUAAUAUCUGAUACGUGGGCCAUCGGCCCAUAUGAUAUUAAAUUAAUUUCUUUUUAGGGGGAAAGUCCAUUACAGUAGCUUGCUACUGGGGUUUUCGUGCGUGGCCCAUGCGUUGCACUAUCGCACCACGCUAAAUCG
RNAcentral lists this small nuclear RNA (188 nucleotides) under Nelumbo nucifera (sacred lotus). RNAcentral describes it as "U2 spliceosomal RNA". It matches the Rfam family "U2 spliceosomal RNA". Rfam says of the family: U2 is a small nuclear RNA (snRNA) component of the spliceosome (involved in pre-mRNA splicing). Complementary binding between U2 snRNA (in an area lying towards the 5' end but 3' to hairpin I) and the branchpoint sequence (BPS) of the intron results the bulging out of an unpaired adenosine, on the BPS, which initiates a nucleophilic attack at the intronic 5' splice site, thus starting the first of two transesterification reactions that mediate splicing. Lineage: Eukaryota; Viridiplantae; Streptophyta; Magnoliopsida; Proteales; Nelumbonaceae. The record is from Rfam by way of RNAcentral.